RNAcentral lists this ribosomal RNA (230 nucleotides) under uncultured bacterium. RNAcentral describes it as "partial 16S ribosomal RNA". It matches the Rfam family "Bacterial small subunit ribosomal RNA", at positions 104 to 334 of the family's 1533-position model. The record is from RNAcentral.
CGGGGUGGAGUAAUGUCUGGGAAACUGCCUGAUGGAGGGGGGUAACUACUGGAAACGGUAGCUAAUACCGCAUAACAUCGCAAGACCAAAGAGGGGGACCUUCGGGCCUCUUGCCAUCGGAUGUGCCCAGAUGGGAUUAGCUAGUAGGUGGGGUAACGGCUCACCUAGGCGACGAUCCCUAGCUGGUCUGAGAGGAUGACCAGCCACACUGGAACUGAGACACGGUCCAG